GGGUUGUGAGGUUAAGCGACUAAGCGUACACGGUGGAUGCCCUGGCAGUCAGAGGCGAUGAAGGGCGUGCUAAUCUGCGAUAAGCGCCGGUAAGGUGAUAUGAACCGUUAUAACCGGCGAUACCCGAAUGGGGAAACCCAGUGUGACUCGUCACACUAUCAUUAACUGAAUCCAUAGGUUAAUGAGGCGAACCGGGGGAACUGAAACAUCUAAGUACCCCGAGGAAAAGAAAUCAACCGAGAUUCCCCCAGUAGCGGCGAGCGAACGGGGAGGAGCCCAGAGCCUGAAUCAGCAUAUGUGUUAGUGGAAGCGUCUGGAAAGGCGCGCGAUACAGGGUGACAGCCCCGUACACAAAAGCGCAUGUGCUGUGAGCUCGAUGAGUAGGGCGGGACACGUGGUAUCCUGUCUGAAUAUGGGGGGACCAUCCUCCAAGGCUAAAUACUCCUGACUGACCGAUAGUGAACCAGUACCGUGAGGGAAAGGCGAAAAGAACCCCGGCGAGGGGAGUGAAAAAGAACCUGAAACCGUGUACGUACAAGCAGUGGGAGCCCCACCACUAAGCCAGUGGUGAACUCCACAUACGCAUCCUUUGCUGAGGAUACGGUUAACGGAGCGAAAGCGACGUUCAACCUCAAAAGAAGCAGAGGGGGCUUAGUGGUGGGGUGACUGCGUACCUUUUGUAUAAUGGGUCAGCGACUUAUAUUCUGUAGCAAGGUUAACCGAAUAGGGGAGCCGGAGGGAAACCGAGUCUUAAUUGGGCGUUAAGUUGCAGGGUAUAGACCCGAAACCCGGUGAUCUAGCCAUGGGCAGGUUGAAGGUUGGGUAACACUAACUGGAGGACCGAACCGACUAAUGUUGAAAAAUUAGCGGAUGACCUGUGGCUGGGGGUGAAAGGCCAAUCAAACCGGGAGAUAGCUGGUUCUCCCCGAAAGCUAUUUAGGUAGC
RNAcentral lists this ribosomal RNA (945 nucleotides) under Salmonella enterica subsp. enterica. RNAcentral's name for it is "partial 23S ribosomal RNA". It matches the Rfam family "Bacterial large subunit ribosomal RNA", at positions 1 to 878 of the family's 2925-position model. The record is from RNAcentral. Lineage: Bacteria; Pseudomonadati; Pseudomonadota; Gammaproteobacteria; Enterobacterales; Enterobacteriaceae.